This 497-nucleotide ribosomal RNA is filed under the name uncultured bacterium. RNAcentral describes it as "partial 16S ribosomal RNA". It matches the Rfam family "Bacterial small subunit ribosomal RNA", at positions 28 to 507 of the family's 1533-position model. The record is from RNAcentral.
GACGAACGCUGGCGGCGUGCCUAAUACAUGCAAGUCGAGCGAGCGGACGAGAAGCUUGCUUCUCUGAUGUUAGCGGCGGACGGGUGAGUAACACGUGGAUAACCUACCUAUAAGACUGGGAUAACUUCGGGAAACCGGAGCUAAUACCGGAUAAUAUUUUGAACCGCAUGGUUCAAAAGUGAAAGACGGUCUUGCUGUCACUUAUAGAUGGAUCCGCGCUGCAUUAGCUAGUUGGUAAGGUAACGGCUUACCAAGGCAACGAUGCAUAGCCGACCUGAGAGGGUGAUCGGCCACACUGGAACUGAGACACGGUCCAGACUCCUACGGGAGGCAGCAGUAGGGAAUCUUCCGCAAUGGGCGAAAGCCUGACGGAGCAACGCCGCGUGAGUGAUGAAGGUCUUCGGAUCGUAAAACUCUGUUAUUAGGGAAGAACAUAUGUGUAAGUAACUGUGCACAUCUUGACGGUACCUAAUCAGAAAGCCACGGCUAACUACGUG